GUGGGGGUAAAGUAAAAAUUUCAUAAAUGGGAAGAGCAUCCCUUUCUCGGACGAUAUAAUUUCUUUCCCUCUCUUCCUCUCUUUCACUCUCUCCAAUUUCUCCGAUCAUGCCACGGAAGACUUCAAGGCAAAAUGUGGCAUCAUGUGUCAUUGACAGUAAAAAAGAGAACCUUUAAAAGAGUUCAGUUACAGAAAGCUUGGUUUGGAUCAAAUUCAAGUCAAAGUUGCAGCAUGCCCUGAAGAGAAAUCCAAUGGUUUUCAAUAAGAGAGCAUGCAAUGGUGUUGUGAGUUGCUUGAACUUCAUCCAUGCCUUUUAUGCUGCGGCUUGUUUGAUGGAGAGGUUAAGCGUUUGAUUCAGUCAUCUUUGGAUAUCUCUAACCAGAUUAAGAAGACUCCCUCACAGUACUUGACAAGUAGCUGUUACCUAUGUAGAUCUUUUGCUUCUAUUAUAUCAAGUUCAUGCUUUCACACUUGCGGAUCAAUGCAUUUGGAGGUCUACAUAGGAGAUGAUUGAAAGACUUCAAGCGUCUUUCUCUCUUUUUAUCCUCUAUGUGUGCUAUUUGCACAUUCUGUUGGAUGUGAUAUUUCUGAGCUUGUCUAAUAAGGUUGCUGCCCUUAACAUUGUAUUUUUUAUAACGACCUUUAUGUCAAGAUGUAUGCCAGUUGCAGGUGAGUGAAAUUAAUCCUUGAUGUUGCUUUAUGCUUUGUCUAAUUGGUUCAAGAAUUUAUCAUAAAUGAAGUCAGUCUAUGGUUCUUGUAUCUUUAUAUUGCUGUAUCUAGUCUCUCUGUCAACUUUAUAACGGAUGACAGUGAAUUUGUAUUUUUGAGCGUGGCAAGGCUAUUUCGUUUUGCACUGAAGCUAUAUUUUUCAAUUCAGCCUUGAUAGAAUUUUUCCUAGAAUUUGUUGCUUGGUCUAAAUGAAGUCAGUCUAUGGUUCUUGUAUCUUUAUAUUGCUAUUUGGUUCUAUUGAACUAUAUGUAUUUAUGUAUUAGUAGUGAUUAGUUGUAACUAAUACAUUAGUUAGUUAGAAGUAGUUGUGGCAUUAGGUGAGACACACGUGUGUCUAUAUAUACAUGUACAUAUCUGGAACCUUCUACAUAUAAUGUGAAUAUACAGUACAUUUUCCAUCUCUCAAAUAUCUGUAGCUCUCUUUCUCAUCCGUUGUCAUGGAGCUCAUCACAGAACUCCAUUGUUGCUUACCUUGAGCUCUCAUCAUCUUGACAUGGCAUCAGAAUUGGAAGAUCGUUACGAGCAAACUAAUGGUGCUAGACUGUUUCAAAUCCAGAAAUAGAUAAAUGAUCUGACUCAGGGAGCUCUCGAUAUCACGAAUUAUUACACCAAAAUGAAGAAACUUUGGAAAGAAUUGAGUAAUCUGAGUAUGAAAGCACAGUGCAAUUGCCAGUGUAAUUGUGGUGCCAAGGAAAAAUUAUACAAGGCAGAGCAGGAUAGGCGCUUGAUCCAAUUUCUUAUGGGACUAUACUGAAACUUUCUCACUUCUUGUGAAGUUAACUACAGUUAGGGCCCUUAUUGCCACUGCAGUAAAGAGGAAGUGGAUCAUUUCUCAACUUGAUGUCAAUAGCGCAUUCCUCCAUGGGGACUUGCAUGAGGAAGUCUACAUGGAAAUUCCCCCGGGCCUUGAGGUGCCCACUCCAGGUGUUGUUUGUAGACUGAACAAAUCUCUCUAUGGGUUGAAGCAAGCUAGUAGGCAAUGGUAUGCCAAGCUAGCCGAGGCAUUAUACUCCAGAGCCUAUGUGCAUUCCCUCCAUGAUUAUUCCUUAUUUUGCAAAAGAACAGACUCCUCCACUAUGUACAUAGCUGUCUAUGUUGAUGAUGUGCUUAUCACAGGGACAGACAUGGAGGAGGUCAAUCAGUUGAAAAGCUUCCUACAUAACACCUUCAAAAUCAAAGAUCUUGGCAGAUUACACUACUUUCUGGGCUUAGAGGUUCUUUAUAAAACUGAUGGGGUUCUCAUCUCACUAAGGAAGUAUGCUCUUGAUCUUCUCAAAGAAUAUGACUGUAUGUCCUACAGUGGACUGUCAUCCCCCCUUGAUCCCUCUGUUAAGUUGCAGGCUUAGGUUGGUGCUGUCUUGAAUGACCCUAAAUAUUAUAGGAAGCUCGUUGGAAAGCUGAACUUCCUUACUAAUACCAGGUUGGACAUUGCUUAUGGAGUCCAACACCUUAGCCAAUUUAUGCAAGACCCCAGAGAACCUCAUCUUAAGGCUGCUUUUCACUUGUUACGAUAUCUGAAAAGUGAUCCUACACUGGAAAUCUUCUUCUCUAAUGAUCCAGACUGCACUAUCCAGGCCUACUGUGACUCCGAUUGGGUUGCUUGUUCAGACUCCAGAAAGUCAGUCAGUGGCUACAUAGUUCUCUUGGGAGAUAGUCCCAUAAGUUGGAAGUCCAAGAAACAAGAAACUGUCUCCCUUUCUUCAGCCGAGGCAGAGUAUAGAUCUCUCCGAAAUGUUGUUGGUGAACUCACUUGGUUGUGCAGAUUACUCGAGGAGCUAGCUGUCCCAUUUCCAAAGCCUGUCACUGUCUUUUGUGAUAGCCAAUGAGCUCUCCAUAUAGCUAGAAAUUCUGUUUUCCAUGAACGGACCAAGCACAUUGAAGUGGAUUGUCAUUUUGUACGAGCCAAACUUCAAGAAGGGUUGAUCAAUUUGACUUAUGUUCCUACUCAUGCUCAAUUGGCAGACAUCCUCACCAAAGCCUUGACUGGAGUUGAACAUUGUGGGGUUCUCAGCAAGUUGUCAGUGCAGUCCUCACCUCCAACUUGAGGGGGUGUAUUGAACUAUAUGUAUUUAUGUAUUAGUAGUGAUUAGUUGUAACUAAUACAUUAGUUAGUUAGAAGUAGUUGUGGCAUGAGGUGAGACACACGUGUGUCUAUAUAUACAUGUACAUAUCUGGAACCUUCUACAUAUAAUGUGAAUAUACAAUACAUUUUCCAUCUCUCAAA
Nicotiana tabacum (common tobacco) is the source of this 2953-nucleotide non-coding RNA. NCBI's taxonomy places the organism in Eukaryota, Viridiplantae, Streptophyta, Magnoliopsida, Solanales, Solanaceae. The record is from RefSeq and is a predicted model, not a curated record.